RNAcentral lists this long non-coding RNA (10109 nucleotides) under Gallus gallus (chicken). The record is from RNAcentral. Lineage: Eukaryota; Metazoa; Chordata; Aves; Galliformes; Phasianidae.
GGUUUUUGGAGUUCUAUCUCUUCCCAUGGCUGAAGGCAACUGUAUGCUUGGGAAGCUGACAGCCCCCUGUGCAGCACUACGAGGGCACGCGCCCAGGCGGAGGGAUUGUGAAAUACCUGGACUUGAGUUGCCACAGCUUCAGGACUUCGCCAUUUCCUGUCCUUGUGCAAUUGUGGUAAAAAGAAAACACUGCAGAGUUGGUUAAACAAAACUGAGAUGGCUGAAACCAAACACAGCUGGGGUGCAAUCCUGGGUUAGAAGAGACGUGCAAAGUGGCUGCUGCUCAGCUCGAAAUACAGUAUGUCACAGCACCACAUUUUUGUUGAAAACACACAACUACCAGAUAACCUACAAAUGCAUAAAUGAAGCGUCCCACAGGGCACGUAAUACCCAGAAUAAACAUUAGCUUCAAGGAUUAACUUCUGUUACAUACAGUGUAACUUAGAAGAACAUCAUUUGUACCUAACUGUCCUCUGCAGAUUUAAAUCUAUUCUUUGACUUUGAAAUUCUUAAAUGAAAUGUAAAGUUCGUACCUGUGGAUAAAAGGAAUUUCCAAAUACAAUCUGCAAAAGCAUCUUUUUGAUUUGAAGCAGAAGAAACGCCCGCGUUUGCAUGCUGUCAGUCUGACUGCUGCAAUACCCGCUCUGUGCAUCCAUUUACAGCCAUGAAAAGCUGCAGGAAGGAAUCUGUGUAACUGAAAACGCCUGUGUCUCCAGCAGCACAAAGGUAUGUGUUUUAACCAGCCAAAGGGAACCAACCAUGCUACGACCAACCAAAAUCCCCCAGUCCUUUUCCAUCCUCAGCUGGAAAAAGAAAGGACUUCAUAAAGCUGUUCUUUGCAGCACUGAAACCUCAGAGAAUGUUUUUAUUACAAAUGAAAGCAUUCCAACAGAGCACUUAACUCUGGACAGAGCAGGGCCUACUCCUGCUCAUGGGACACACAGCUGCUGCCAGCCUGUCGACCUCUCUUCCCUCAAUCUCCAGCAUGAAGCUGCUUUCUGGUGAGGUAGUUUUGCCUCCCCACUGCCUCUGUGUUCUGGGAUAUCUCCCGGCAGAAGGCCGUAUGUCACACACUCCCACAGCUAGCAGGAAAGCCCUUCACUUCCCUGCGUUUUCCAAAGCCACCACCUCAAAAGGUGUCCAAGCUUUUGCUCUGUGCAUCUCACACGGUUGUUUAAUUUCUUUCAGUGUUGACAUUAACAGCUCAAAUAGCUCUGAUAAUUUUUUAAAAAAAGCUUUAGCUACGAAGUGUUCUGCAACGUACACAUGUAAUAUACUAAUAUAUACCUCUCACCAUCACCAAGUGGUCAGGAAAAGCACGGCGAACACCAGCUCACCCCACAGCUGCACCCAUGGCUCUAUCACCACAGCCGACCAUCCAACACCAUGUUGGUGCCAACGGCUCCUUACGUCUGUGCGCCCUACACAGUGCUGGAUGAGAGGGGAGCUCUGCACAACGCCGCAGCUCAGAGGCUCAGACCUGAGCCACGUGCCCCAGCAGAACCCCAAGUUCAGCUGCUGUAUGGAACAUCCAGACCAAAGUCCUUCCUACGCAUCACUUAAUCCUGCAUUUCCACUUCCCUUCUGGUAACCACCUUAUCCGCUUCUCAACAUUUUGGCUGGAGGUAACACUAGGAUCAAAGAUCUUCCAUCACAAAGGGUUUGCAAUAGCAAAGGCAGAUUUUGGCCCACAGACAAAAGGCAUUAUUUCCCUGUUGACAUCCAGGAUGAACGUAACCUCAAUGCCACAACGAGCAUUCAAGGAGACCUGAGCUGUGCGACCAUCCAUCUCAGGCCCAGCAGCAAACCCAGAUUCCUGGUCACCAGGCACUGGAACAGAACAAAGUGCUGCUCUCAGACACACACAGGUGCUGGAGCUCUGCACACCUUCCACACUCUGUCACCAACACAGACCAACACCACAUUACUGGGAGCACAGAAGCAUUUGGUAACUCCUGUGUCAGCCCUGUGCAAAAGCAGAGUCCGUGGAAUGCAUGCACAGGGCACACACACAGCAGCACAGCUGGACCCCAAACAGCCACAGCUGUGCUGUCUUUCACAGGUCCCAGCCCCGAGCUCUGCUCUCAGCUCCAGCAGCAAACCUGCACUAAGUCGAGGCAGCAUCACAGACAGGGAUUAAAACCAGUCUGAAGCAACAACAGUCAAAGCAGCACUUCUGCCAUAACCUCAGAUAUUUCAACAGCAGUCAAAAAGACAGGGCCUAGCUGCCUUAUUUAAAGCAAUAAUCUGUAACUGUCACUGGCUCUCUUACAAGCACAGAAUGUGAAUGCAACAUUCAAUCAUCUGUUUCUUCUAAAAUCAGUAAAUAUUAUGGCCUGUUUGAUUCCGAUGACUGUUUGGAUGAAUUAGUAAGAAACAGACUCAUGUGAAAGUGAGAUGUGAAAAACAGACAUUACUUUUCAGCCACAGACCUGAAAACGUUCUUCCAGUGCUUGACUACCAAUGAGAUAAAUGUUUGCUUCUUUCUCUUCUGUAAAUUGAAGAACCCCGCAACAGUGCGCCGGGUGUUUGUGAGCGCUUUGUCUCUUUCUGUGGAGUAGUCAAGGAGAGCUAAAGCAAGUGGAAUUCAGCACAAUGCAUAAUUCUAAGUAAACGUGUUGCCUGUGUUCAGCCAGCAAGGAAAGAAAGUGGGUCCAGAGAUGAAAAAAAAUCCAGAAAGCAGUGGAACAAAGCCCAGUCCUACAAAAAUGUUGUUGAAUUUGGAGCAAACACUAUGCAGAUUUUACCACAGUGCAAUGCAGAUAUUUAUUAGCUCUGUUGCUUUUCAUAAAUCUCUGAGUCAAGGACUAGACUUCAAAUAAAGUAUUUGUCCUUCUUUUUUUGAAAUACCUGAACAAGCCUAGCCAGCAUCUUUUAAAGUAUUUUAUGAUGACAAAUCAUUCAAUUAUAGAACUUGCCAAUUCAUGGCCUGCAUGUUAUCUAUCACAAAAGAGUGUCUGCAGAACAUAAUGAGAAGUGAGUUCACUUCCAGCCCGUCCAGGUUUUCCAAUCUUGUUCAUCAGUGACGUUACUAACCAUUAACCAUUUUCCUGUAGAGCAGUAAACAGCAUGACUCACCUCUUUAUCUGCUCCUCUUCCUCCCAGAGGGGGAACUGUGUAGAACACAUUGUUACACCAUUUUACACACACACGCACUGCUGCUGUGCUUUUUGCUCGAGGAGCAAGGCAACACAUCUUGCAGGUGGAGCAGGAGGCCCAGAGUGCUGUGUUUAAGCUCCUGGGAUUGCCCUCUGCUUUCUGAGCUGUCCCCUGGGGAAGCAUGGUUUCACAAAGGAGCGUUAUUCUUACUGCAGCUGCUUCUGUUGGGCCAGAGGUACACAAGCUGUCACCCCAUCAUCUUCGAGCUGUCUUGGAUCCAGGCCAUAGAUCAACAAGAAAUAUUAAGACACUGAACUUAAUGCAGAAUACAAUGCCAAGAUCAAUGUGAAAUGGGAGGAAAUAUUUGAUACAAUCCUAUGUUUUAUAAACGGCAAAGUUUCAAAAGAAAAAGUAAAGAAAAGCACUGCUAGAAUGGGGCAGUCUUUAAUAAUCCACGCCAGAAUGCAUUAAUUGCAGAUCAUAACACAACCGUGCAUCAGUAACAAACCCAAGCAUGUUCCUAUGCUGCUGGCUUAGUACUACUGAGCUUCUGCUUUCUGCUGCAUGAGUCAGUUUCUGUUUGGUUGACCUCUCUGGCUUUGCUGAGGAUUCAGAGCUCAUCCCAGCACUUGGCUAAAACUUAUCACACAGAGCAUUUCUGAGUGCUCGUCGGACUACACUGUGUUUGAACACAGAACUGCUUCUGCAAAUGAGGCCUUCACUCUAUCCAUCCGAAAGGAGUACUCCACAUUUCCUGAAUCUUGGGCCAUGCUGAAAAUCCUUGAAUUGUGAUUCCACUGUGGUAUCCACUAUUUUCUUGAACAAUCACUUCAGCAAGAAUAUUCACUGUGAGGUACUUCUGUACGAAUCUUCCUGACAAGCAUCUCCAUUGGAGAAAAAGGGCCAUCAGAAAACCUCCCAUCUCCACACAUCAAAAUGGGUUACUGGGAAGAAUCUCUCUCAAAAGGGAGGUAGAAGUGUGCCCUCAAAAAACACAGGUGUACACAAACACGGAGCUGGCCUGGAGAACAGUGAGUACUGUGAAAACGUGUUACCUCUGACUACCAGUUCUGCAGAAAAGCAGCAAUGAUAGGGCAGACAACAUGGGAUGCAGAGCUAUAGCCCUUUGCUCUGUUCUCAGCACACCCCCUUGCUCACGAUUCUCCAAAAACACCAAGAAAAAGCAAAAAGGAAAGUAGCUCUCUUUUGUAAAGGGCAGAGCACUGUGCCAGAAGAGCCUGCUCCAACUCGAGCUCCUUACCGCAAGAAACAUUGCCAUGCACAUCUUCAAACAUGGACAUCUCAAGCAGGCAAACCCAUCAACAACCACUGUAAGGAGGAAGUGUCACAGUGACUGCACACGGCUCUGCAUCCAGUGGUAUGUUGCUGUUUCUUAAGUGACCUUCAAGGACUUCUGCUUUAAAUACAAUAGAAACUUUAAAUUAUAUUUGUUCUGAUGACAGAACUGUUUUUCCUGAAGUCCUCCAAUUCUUUAACUUUUCAAAGCAGUGAUGCAGCUUUAUCUUGCCACUAUCUUUUUCUCUGGCCCCAGUCCCCCAUAGAUCAUUCAGCCAUAACAAGCAGCAGACUUGACGUGAAGACUGAAGAAAAUCAAGGAACUUGCAUGGCUUUUUUCCACCAGUAAGUUUCUUAGAGCAGCAAAAAAGUAACUACUAAAAGCUACAGAAAAGAUUCUAUGCACAACUGAAAAUGCCCAGAAUUCAGAGCUCCUCCCUGCUGUGCUUCUUGUGCACCGUUCUCACAUCAUUUCAAGCAAGCAGAUAUUUGGAAAAAGCAAUGCUUCGUUCUCAACUGCUAGCAGCAUGAAUCCAGAUCAGUGCUUAAAGCUAACAGAUUAAUCCCGUGACCCCCAAAAGGUUUAGGGGUUGUUUGUUUUUCCAGUUGUUGCACUUGAUGUUGCAUCUUGCUUAGCAGAUGUUGCGAACACAAGCAAGAAAAGGCACACGAUUGAGAGGAGAGUUACACAAAUGUGAGUGUUUGAAAAGCGACUGUUGGAAAAACAAAUGUUUUAUGCAUUAUGGUUGGUUUGAGAGUUUUUGCUGUGUUUUACAUUAAUGUUUUAUGUAUCGCCUCUAAAAUUUGGAAUGACUUGAUUUCUCACCGACUUGAAAGAGAAGGAAAAAUAAUUCUGAAGCGUCAGUAAUUGUCUGCACCAAAGUCUGCCACAAACAGGACAUCAAAGAAGGGAAAGUUACGACACUGCCGAGGCUCCAGAGUGCAUUCCAUUUUCUGGGGCAGAUUUGGCUUGAUGCAGGGCAGCUUGAAUUCUGAAAUGUGUUCUCGUUUCCAUGGAGUAAUUCUUGUAGUUUUGUCUAAAACAAAAGCAGAGCAACUCUGAUGAAUGCAUAUAUUUUCAAACGUUUUCAAGUUAUCUUUAUAUUACUGCUCUAAGCAAAACAACUGUAGACAGCAGAACGCCUUCCUUCAUAAGCUCUUUUGUUGCCUACUGUAAAAUACAUGGCAUGUGCUCCUAGCCAGACAAUGCAGCUCUUUGUUCUUUAUUUGUAGUUCUACUGUCUGGCAAUUACCAGAAAAUACAGCUUAAUAAGAACUGGAUUUGUUCUACUCAAUAAAAAUAUUUAAAAAUAUUAGAUAACCAUAACAUCUACUUAAGUUUACAUUCAGAAAUUAGAUUUUCUUUCUCCUCCUAAAGUAUAGCUGACAACCUUGACCAGACUUUUUUUUUUUUUUUUUUUUUUAAGAGUUGUCUGCAACUUCCUUGCCAAAUCACAGUAAAAUAAAUAGAUGAGAAUUAACAUGCAAGGAAAAAAAAGCUAUGCCUUCCAAAGAAAUGGAGAUGAGUUCAUGCUCAGCCUUGAAGUUACUCUCAGACACGUUGCUCAGGAGAAGACCUGAACCCUAUUCUGAGGCAGGACUCACUCCUUUCCCUGUGCUACCUACAAAGCAUUCCUGAGUCCGAGGCCCACCUGUCCUCACCUUAGCUCGGCAGUCAUAUUUCAUGGAAGUAAACGGAACAAAGGAAAAAGAAAAAAAAGAGAGAAGCUUUCCUGAGCCCUUCUGAAGGAAGUGUGCCAUCACCACGUUGCGGUUAUCACAGAUGAAGACUGUGUGCGUAGGAAGCAAAGCCAGGCACUUUGCUGCCCUAGAAGUUUGGAAAGUGGGUACACACAAAAGUCCAUAUCUGCUUUCAAAGACCAAUUUGCCAGCCCACAGAAAGACUGGCGGGACUUCCCCCACAAACAUCCAGCAGCCGAUUCAGCAGUGCUGCCUGCCUGUUGUCUCCUGUAGCUAAGUCACAUCCUGAAGAGCCAUAGGCACGUUAGAAGACACUGUAUUUUCAUGGAAAAACAGAAAAUGCAGAUCCCACUUGCUAGGAAUUAGCAUUUCAGCUCUUGCAGGAUUGAUAUAGAAUCCAAAUACCAAGGAGGAUAAGAAAAUUAGCAGGGUAACUUUCUUUUAGCAGAUACUUGUCAUCCUUACAGAAACGUUACAUCACAUAUUAAACAGUCUGCAUAAUCUUAUAAACACUUCAGCUCAAAAUUCAUAAUUCAGAUGAAGCGUGGAGGCAAGCAUCUGCCACUACAGCAGCCUCUCAGCAAAUACUAGGCAUUCCUUGCCCAUCCCAUCCUCACUUGUAAUUUUAUGUAUGCAGCACUCAAGGGGCUGACUGAGAAGAGGAAAUGAUGGGUUGUGCUGUAUGCUGAUCUGAAACACUCCGGAGUUUUUACCGAAAAUUAACUAGAUUUUGUCAUGCAGAUAUUAAAGAAUGCCUCUUGUAUUUCUCGUCAGCAGGCUGAUAUUGUUGCUUGUAGCUUGUGGUAAUACAAAUAUAAAUAUUUCCAUGCGUGAUCAAGCCAAAACUGCUUAUCAUCUCAUUUCACUCUUUCUCCUGGAGUUGAAACAUUUGAGCCAGCAGCAGUAUGUAGAUUUAGGUCAAGCAAAUCAAGCGUCACACACAAGCAGAGCACUCAUUUCCACUCCUGCCAACAGUGAACACAGUUUUGCAAUUCUGAAACCCACCACGGACAACACACCCUCCCUCUAGCGGCUGGAAAGGCGUUCAGCAUUUUUAGCUGAAGGCUCAUAAAACAUUUGUGUACGUUCUGAUUGAGGAUAACAGCUACAGGCGGUAACUUAGCAGCUGCAUGGGGUCACUGUCCCUGGAGGUGGACAACCAUGGGGAUGUGGCACCGAGGGACAUGGCCAGUGGGCACGGUGGGGUGGGUUGGGGUUGGACUUGGACUGGGUGAUCUUGGAAGUCUUUUCUAUCCUCAAUGACUCUGAGAUUCUAAGACCUUUCUUUUUUUCUUACUGUUACAGUUUCCGUGAGCUCUUUGAGUGUGACAAUCCUGAGUAUUAGCUUUUCAUACAAAGUUUUAAAAGCUGUGAUCUGCUGAGCUUUCUGUAAGCCAAACAUUGUCCCUUGAAGAGACUGUGACCUGAGCCACACAAGCUGCCAGGUGAAUGGGGGAAAGGCUGAGUGGGAACUGACAGCAGCACUGGGCAGAAUGAGAAGCUCUGUAAUGUCAGUUUCUGGACCUCUUUUUAAGAUUUGAAUAAUCUGUAUUCAAAUACGGCUUGAGGUGAAGUGCGUUUUGAGGAACAUGAAACUGACUAAAACAAUUUCCAUUGCAUUUUGCAAAUAGUAUUUUUGCUACCCUUACUAUCUACCACGAGUCUACAGAGAACCAGGCUCACAAGCACAGGGGAUUCAGGAUUGCAAUAUUGUAAUUUCUGUGUUGACAGGCUUUUGGCAUCGCCUUCAGCAGGCUAAUUCACCACUCUUAGUGGACUGACUUGGACAAGAGAUCGACACAAAACUCCUCUCUCUGACUUCUUUGGAAGAUGGGGCCAGAGAUCAGCUUUGCAGCCCCACACCUGCAGAGUGGCUGGCGACUGCGCUUGGAAAUGUGCAGACAUCUGGACUCGUUCAGCAUCCAGGCAGAGGUGAACUGCCCUGCUGCAGGAUGCCUGAAGGAGACCAGUGUUGUUUGGUUUGGAAUGCCUUUUUAUUUUCUCCUUUCUUUUUCUUUCUUCUCCCCAGAUAGAAAUUUUGGCUCUGCAAAGCAUCAAAGACUAGGAUAGAGGCAAAACUAGAUUUCUUAGGUUUAGAACCAAGAAUGUAGAAGAACAAGUCCAGCAAUUCCUGAUAAACCUGCUCUGAUAGAAAAAAAUCAAUCACAACAAAUAUAGCAAUGGCAGGUGUUUCAGCUGCCUCAGAUACAGUCGAAAAGGCAAAGAUACCAGAUGCAAACUGGAACAUUGUCUUAAGUGUAUUUCAUCGAGGAAAAAACCCAGCACUGCUAGCCAUCAAUCUGAAUAAUGUCUUUUCAGCCCUAGCACAGAGCUGUAAUUUCAUUUAAUACAUCCUUUAAGAAUAAGUAAAUAUAUUACAAAGAAAAUUACACUUUGUUACACAUGGAUUAUUUCUUACGGAAGACCCUGACACUCGUAUUAACAUCCUUAAAAUUAUUUUUGCUCUUAUCAGAAUGGAUGGGUAACUCACAGACGGAACCAUCAGAUACUGUCUCAGAUACUGUCUACUACCUGAAAAGGUCCCAACCAAACCUAGGGCAAUGUGUGCUUCAGCUGAAUAAACAAAAGAGUUUGUAUAGUAUUAACGCUUCUGCUUCCUGCUCAUCUGUAACACACCAUACUGACCCACCAGAACAGGCUUUUAACUUGCUUACUUUGCUCUUUCUAGUAGUUUUAUUGCUUCUUCUCUUCUGUCCUGGUCCAGAUACAGCAAUGCAAGCUCCAGCAAGGCAUUUGGAAUUAAAUAAUGGUCGUAUUUUAUCUUCUUCUCACUGCAUAGGAAAAGAAAUAGCCUCAAGAUCUUGACAUAAUUUGUUGUUCCCUUCAUUUAACAGCUCCAAGCAAAAAUAAAUAGGAGAUUAGCUAAGAUAAAGAGGAGCAAUCAAUCUUUAUUACAACAUUUGUUGUGUUCUCUGUCCAAUGCUACCUUCUAGGUUAUUUAAUGGUGUGCUUUACCAUAACCAUCACACAGAACGUAUUAUUUCUUGGGAUUAAAAAUUAUUAGCAUUUAUUAUAGGGGAAAUUUUUAAAAAGGUGAUAUUAUUAAAAGCACUGUGUGAACUGAGAAAGAGAGAUCCCAUUCACAACGUACAGGAGUUCCAAAUACUACCAUGGUGCCAAUCAUCUCUGGAGACUACAUUUGGUUCUUUAGGCAUAACUGCUAAGAGGAAAGGAAGGAAAAAACAGUGGUAUCACAAAAACUGUAUGCGUGUAUAGUUCCCCAAGAGGAGAAAGUAUCAGUAAGAAGUGCAGAAUUGCAAUUCUUCCUCCUUAUAUGGCUAACAACACUGGCAAUUAAAACUGUCAUCCCCUGGAUAUUGAAACAAGUGAAAUAAAUACUAAAGAUUCUGUAAUCCUCUCUGUUCACAUCAAGGUUGCACUUGCUCUUACUUGAAAUGAACAGGUACUGAGAAAUUCUGCCUGUAUGCCAGGUAUGACAACUUACUUUAAGUAGAUGUAAUUAAAAUGGCCUUCUGCCUCUGAGAUCUUGCCCAAAUGCUUGAGGCAUAAACCCUUUAACAGUUUUAUCACGCACUGGUCAUCUGCUAGCAAUUCCGUAGCUGCAAGAUGAAGUAAAUGGCAUAUUUUAGAAAACUUUUUAGAGCAGUACAGACUUUGCUAUGUACAGCGAAACUUUUACACAGGUAAGUAUGAUAAGAUCUAUUUACUGGAACACAGGACAAAAGGAACUACCUGACCCAUUAACAGGAAACAACCCUGAAUGAACUUAUCACAGACAAACCUGUAUCAUGAAAUAUCAGCUAACAAGAAAUUUAAGUAAUACGUAUGACAUUGCAUCUUAUGCUGAAUUUCACCCUGCUUCUAUCAUGUACAGUGGUCCUUUAUCCAGUUCUUCCUCUGCCACUCCAGUUGACAAAAUGCUGACACAUUCUGCAUGGAACUGCUGCUCCCCUACAGACUACGCCAGCCCUAAUGAUUCUAUGUUCACAUGGAUGCAUCUUCUCUACUUAUAAUGCAGCCUUCAAACUGCC